UGCCAGCAGCCGCGGUAAUACAGAGGGUGCGAACGUUGCUCGGAAUUACUGGGCGUAAAGCGCGUGUAGGCGGAAACGCAAGUUGGUUGUGAAAUCCCCGGGCUUAACCCGGGAACUGCAUCCAAAACUGCGUUUCUAGAGUGAUGGAGAGGAGAGCGGAAUUCCUGGUGUAGAGGUGAAAUUCGUAGAUAUCAGGAGGAACACCGGUGGCGAAGGCGGCUCUCUGGCCAUAUACUGACGCUGAGACGCGAAAGCAUGGGUAGCGAACAGGAUUAGAUA
RNAcentral lists this ribosomal RNA (279 nucleotides) under uncultured bacterium. RNAcentral describes it as "partial 16S ribosomal RNA". It matches the Rfam family "Bacterial small subunit ribosomal RNA", at positions 506 to 784 of the family's 1533-position model. The record is from RNAcentral.